This 301-nucleotide ribosomal RNA is filed under the name uncultured bacterium. RNAcentral describes it as "partial 16S ribosomal RNA". It matches the Rfam family "Bacterial small subunit ribosomal RNA", at positions 512 to 808 of the family's 1533-position model. The record is from RNAcentral.
CAUCGCCGCGGGAAUACCGAGGGUGCGAGCGUUAAUCGGAAUUACUGGGCGUAAAGGGCGCGUAGGCGGUUAGGAAGGUGUGAUGUGAAAGCCCUGGGCUUAACCUAGGAAGUGCAUCGCAAACCAACUAGCUGGAGUAUAAGAGAGGGUGGCGGAAUUUCCGGUGUAGCGGUGAAAUGCGUAAAGAUCGGAAGGAACGUCAAUGGCGAAGGCAGCCACCUGGCUUAAUACUGACGCUGAGGCGCGAAAGCGUGGGGAGCGAACAGGAUUAGAUACCCCUGUAGUCCCUGUCUCUUAUACA